This 463-nucleotide ribosomal RNA is filed under the name Streptomyces scopiformis. RNAcentral describes it as "bacterial SSU rRNA". It matches the Rfam family "Bacterial small subunit ribosomal RNA", at positions 458 to 918 of the family's 1533-position model. Lineage: Bacteria; Bacillati; Actinomycetota; Actinomycetes; Kitasatosporales; Streptomycetaceae. The record is from RNAcentral.
AAGAAGCGAAAGUGACGGUACCUGCAGAAGAAGCGCCGGCUAACUACGUGCCAGCAGCCGCGGUAAUACGUAGGGCGCAAGCGUUGUCCGGAAUUAUUGGGCGUAAAGAGCUCGUAGGCGGCUUGUCGCGUCGGAUGUGAAAGCCCGGGGCUUAACCCCGGGUCUGCAUUCGAUACGGGCAGGCUAGAGUGUGGUAGGGGAGAUCGGAAUUCCUGGUGUAGCGGUGAAAUGCGCAGAUAUCAGGAGGAACACCGGUGGCGAAGGCGGAUCUCUGGGCCAUUACUGACGCUGAGGAGCGAAAGCGUGGGGAGCGAACAGGAUUAGAUACCCUGGUAGUCCACGCCGUAAACGUUGGGAACUAGGUGUUGGCGACAUUCCACGUCGUCGGUGCCGCAGCUAACGCAUUAAGUUCCCCGCCUGGGGAGUACGGCCGCAAGGCUAAAACUCAAAGGAAUUGACGGGG